Molecule: ribosomal RNA, 398 nt
Filed under: Starmerella aff. zemplinina Cz4
Lineage: Eukaryota; Fungi; Ascomycota; Dipodascomycetes; Dipodascales; Trichomonascaceae
Description: eukaryotic LSU rRNA
Rfam family: 5.8S ribosomal RNA (bases 95-243)
Source: RNAcentral
ACAGCUUAGACUUCGGUCUUUGCAAUUGCUUGGGUGUCGAAAGGCGCCCAAUCUUUAAAACUUUUAUAUUUGUUCUGAAACAAUGAAAAUUUAAAACUUUCAACAACGGAUCUCUUGGUUCUCGUAUCGAUGAAGAACGCAGCAAAGCGCGAUAGGUAAUGCGAAUUGCAGACGUGAGUCAUUGAAUUUUUGAACGCAUAUUGCGCUAUUAGUUUGUCUAAUAGCAUGCUUGUUGGAGUGAUAAUCUUCCUCUCAACCAUUUUUGGUAUGAGGUCUUGCUCCUUUUAGGAGUUAAAAUCAUGGAAGUGCACACGUUAAUUAACUCUGUGCAGUUAUACACUUUUCAUCCUCCAAUCAAGCAAGGUUACCCGCUGAACUUAAGCAUAUCAAUAAGCGGA